GUCGGGUGGCGGCGUGCAUCACUAUGACAAGUCGAGCGGUAAGGCCCUUCGGGGUACACGAGCGGCGAACGGGUGAGUAACACGUGAGCAACCUGCCCCUGACUCCGGGAUAAGCGGUGGAAACGCCGUCUAAUACCGGAUACGACCGGCCGCCUCAUGGUGGCCGGUGGAAAGUUCUUCGGUUGGGGAUGGGCUCGCGGCCUAUCAGCUUGUUGGUGGGGUAAAGGCCUACCAAGGCGAUUACGGGUAGCCGGCCUGAGAGGGCGACCGGCCACACUGGGACUGAGACACGGCCCAGACUCCUGCGGGAGGCAGCAGUGGGGAAUAUUGCGCAAUGGGCGAAAGCCUGACGCAGCGACGCCGCGUGGGGGAUGACGGCCUUCGGGUUGUAAACCUCUUUUACCACCAACGCAGGCUCCCAGUUCUCUGGGGGUUGACGGUAGGUGGGGAAUAAGGACCGGCUAACUACGUGCCAGCAGCCGCGGUAAUACGUAGGGUCCGAGCGUUGUCCGGAAUUAUUGGGCGUAAAGAGCUCGUAGGCGGCGUGUCGCGUCUGCUGUGAAAGACCGGGGCUUAACUCCGGUUCUGCAGUGGAUACGGGCAUGCUAGAGGUAGGUAGGGGAGACUGGAAUUCCUGGUGUAGCGGUGAAAUGCGCAGAUAUCAGGAGGAACACCGGUGGCGAAGGCGGGUCUCUGGGCCUUACCUGACGCUGAGGAGCGAAAGCAUGGGGAGCGAACAGGAUUAGAUACCCUGGUAGUCCAUGCCGUAAACGUUGGGCGCUAGGUGUGGGGACUUUCCACGGUUUCCGCGCCGUAGCUAACGCAUUAAGCGCCCCGCCUGGGGAGUACGGCCGCAAGGCUAAAACUCAAAGGAAUUGACGGGGGCCCGCACAAGCGGCGGAGCAUGUUGCUUAAUUCGACGCAACGCGAAGAACCUUACCAAGGUUUGACAUCACCCGUGGACCUGCAGAGAUGUGGGGUCAUUUAGUUGGUGGGUGAC
RNAcentral lists this ribosomal RNA (1000 nucleotides) under Nocardiopsis sp. ZZY-2013. Its description in RNAcentral is "bacterial SSU rRNA". It matches the Rfam family "Bacterial small subunit ribosomal RNA", at positions 28 to 1035 of the family's 1533-position model. The record is from RNAcentral. Lineage: Bacteria; Bacillati; Actinomycetota; Actinomycetes; Streptosporangiales; Nocardiopsidaceae.